CCUACGGGAGGCAGCAGUAAGGAAUAUUGCGCAAUGGGGGCAACCAUGACGCAGCAACGCCGCGUGGGCGACGAAGGCCUUCGGGUUGUAAAGCCCUUUUCGGAGGGACGAGUAAGGACGGUACCUCCGGAACAAGUCUCGGCUAACUACGUGCCAGCAGCCGCGGUAAAACGUAGGAGGCAAGCGUUAUCCGGAUUCACUGGGCGUAAAGCGCGCGCAGGUGGCCUGUCAAGUCGGACGUGAAAUCUCCCGGCUCAACUGGGAGGGGCCGUUCGAUACUGGCGGGCUUGAGGGCAGAAGGGGAAGGCGAAAUUCCCGGUGUAGUGGUGGAAUGCGUAGAUAUCGGGAGGACCACCGGUGGCGAAGGCGGCUUCCUGGGCUAGGACUGACGCUGAGGAGCGAAAGCUAGGGGAGCGAACAGGAUUA
Molecule: ribosomal RNA, 426 nt
Filed under: uncultured bacterium
Lineage: Bacteria
Description: partial 16S ribosomal RNA
Rfam family: Bacterial small subunit ribosomal RNA
Source: RNAcentral